Molecule: ribosomal RNA, 499 nt
Filed under: uncultured bacterium
Lineage: Bacteria
Description: bacterial SSU rRNA
Rfam family: Bacterial small subunit ribosomal RNA
Source: RNAcentral
GAGGCUACGCUGGCGGCGUGUCUUAGCCAUGCAAGUCGAGCGGACUUAUGGGGUAACUUAUAAGUCAGCGGCGGACGGCGGAGUAACACGUAGCUAACCUACCCUCUGGACGGGGAUAACCUACCGAAAGGUGGGCUAAUACCCGAUGUAGUCAUCCUGUAUAGGGGUGAUGAAAGGUGGGCUUCUGUUUACAAGCUCAUGCUGGAGGAGGGGGCUGCGGCCUAUCAGGUAGUUGGUAGGGUAAUAGCCUACCAAGCCGAUGACGGGUAGCCGGCCUGAGAGGGUGACCGGCCCGAGGGGCACUGAGAUACGGGUCCCACUCCUACGGGAGGCAGCAGGCUAGAAAUUUGGGCAAUGGGGGAAACCCUGACCCAGUGACGCCGCGUGCAGGAAGGAGCCCUUCGGGGUGUAAACUGCUGUCGUGUAGGGAGAAGGGUACUAAGGUGAACAAUCUUAGUACUUGACGGUACUACAGGAGGAAGCCCAGGCUAACCUCGUG